UGUAAUCUUUGUUUAUCAUAUCAAUUAACUUUCAUUGCUGGCCUGCUAAAUCAGUACCGGUAACAACCAAAAGAUCUCUGAAUAAAUUUUCUUUAGAUGCUUAUAUGCAAGAACAUCACGUCUUUCACAUCGGAAUAACACAAGCAUCCGGAUAAAUUGUACAACAACCACUCAUCUAAACUAAAGAAAACUUGGAUACAAGAUUUUCUAGCAAACGUACGUUCUUGCUGAUUACAUGGUGCCAAAAAAACCGAAGCCUGAGACAACCACCCACGAUCUGGGCUAGUACGAGAGGUGAAAUUAUCAGUUUCAUCAGAUGCCAUCUUGGAGACCUAUGAAGAUGACUCCUCUGAAGAUUACCCAGUCAUAGCUCAGGCUCUGGAUUCUUUGAUCUCCUAAUUCAUACCACCCACGAUCUGUGAAGGAGGGUGAUGCUUCACAUUCCCUAUUGAUAAGACACUCUAAUGUAUUAGCACAUAAGAGAUGGAGGAAGGGACAAUACCUCGAAUGAAAAACAGAUGAAAAAGAAGUCAACAGGUAUGCUCUCAGUUUUCUGAAACAAAUAUAUGAUAAUAUUAUAUCUCAUAAAAAAAUCCCAUAUCUUUUCUGAAGUGAAUUAUAGCCAAACAAUAUAUGAAAUAAGUUCUUGUGAUAUUACCAGAUUAAAAUCAGUACCAGUAACUAGUCAACUAUAGUAUACUACAAAACUCCUCCAGUCCAGACAUGGAGAACACAGUGAGCGUGCAAUUCUAUCCACUCAAGAAAUCAUUUUCAUAACCUAAAUAAGAUGAUAAUAAGUUACAAGGGUCGGCUUCCAAACCAGGGAAUGUCACCUAUGCAACCAAGAAUCCGAGAUGGUGAGGCGUCUUUUUAUGCAUUUAUCUUGGAUGCAACAACUUCGGUUAUCUGCUUUGUCCUGCAUGCGCAUAAGAACAUGAAGAAUUGCAGCCCUGCUCGUCGUCCUCGUCUUCAACAGAUUUACCGUCUCCAGGCAAUAAGACUCCAUAAUGACCUUCAAACAAAAAAAAUGAUGGCACCAGGGGAGCCAAGCUAAACUUAGUAGUGACACCCUAACCUACAAUCAUAGGCAUCUCUGUUUGGAAGUAUCAUCGGAUUCCAAAGUAUCACAUUUUUAGAAUACAAAGGACAAUCACUACUAGAGAAGUAGCGAUGCAACAUUGGCGAUACAUAUUUGAUUUGGCUCGGCAGUAGUUAGGUAAAAAAGCUUUUGUAACUAUGGAACAGAUAAAUUGAUGAUGAGUAAAAAAUGAACUGAUAACAAAAUCAAGAAGAUGAACUCGUAAUGCUUUCACGAAAUUAAGUUAGACUCUGUAAGUACACGUUCUCUUUAAUAUUGUUUACCAAUAAAGGAGAAAAUAGGGAGUACACCCCUUGUAAUUGGCAUGAAGAUUGUAGAAAUAUACCUAAAUUUGGUGCUCACAGCACACUAUUCGAAUUCUUAAUCAACAAAAACAUGCCCUUUAGUCAACUGGAACAAGAUGGAUAGAGGAAUAAGUGAACAUACCUACAUCCUUGAGCUGCUGCCGAUGGAUAGUGCUGACGGCGACAGCGACCGCGGCGGCGGCAACGGCAGAUUGUUCAGAGAGAACGAUCGAAAUUUAAUAACCCUAAUUCACCUGAGUGGUAUAGAAGAGGGAGAGACAACCGCGUUUCAUUAAGAUCUGAGAUCGAUCUUGAGCUCGCUGGACCUGAACCCUAGCUCAGGAGGAUGUACUGGUACAAAAUCUGGCAAAGGGGGAGGAAGACGAUCUGUGUACGGGGAGGCCAAUUCGUUAGAUUUAGCUGAGCUGCAAGGACUGGUUUGCAAAUGUACCAUCAGGCCCAUCAUCGCACUGAAUCCUGUCCCUUCCUUUCGAAUCCAACGACCCAUACAUAUCUGGUGCAUCUGGUGCACCAAUUUGGUCGUUUCACCAGAUACGUUCUCAUUAGCAUGUUGUUGUUUGCAUUUAACUUGAUUAAAU
Molecule: long non-coding RNA, 1982 nt
Filed under: Triticum aestivum (bread wheat)
Lineage: Eukaryota; Viridiplantae; Streptophyta; Magnoliopsida; Poales; Poaceae
Description: long non-coding RNA (TAES_LNC013827)
Source: RNAcentral